UACGGGGGGGGCAAGCGUUGUUCGGAAUUACUGGGCGUAAAGCGUGCGCAGACGGUUGCGUAAGUCAGAUGUGAAAGCCCCGGGCUCAACCUGGGAAUUGCAUUUGAGACUGCGUAGCUAGGGUGCGGAAGAGGGAAGCGGAAUUUCCGGUGUAGCGGUGAAAUUCGUAGAUAUUCGCAAGAACACCAGUGGCGAAGGCGGACUCACUGGCCCGGUACUGACGCUGAGGUGCGAAAGCGUGGGGAGCAAACAGGG
Molecule: ribosomal RNA, 255 nt
Filed under: uncultured bacterium
Lineage: Bacteria
Description: partial 16S ribosomal RNA
Rfam family: Bacterial small subunit ribosomal RNA
Source: RNAcentral